Molecule: ribosomal RNA, 1438 nt
Filed under: Synechococcus sp. Minos12
Lineage: Bacteria; Bacillati; Cyanobacteriota; Cyanophyceae; Synechococcales; Synechococcaceae
Also listed under: 1 other name
Description: bacterial SSU rRNA
Rfam family: Bacterial small subunit ribosomal RNA
Source: RNAcentral
AGGAUGAACGCUGGCGGCGUGCUUAACACAUGCAAGUCGAACGAACCUUCGGGUUAGUGGCGGACGGGUGAGUAACGCGUGAGAAUCUGCCCUCAGGAGGGGGAUAACGGUUGGAAACGACCGCUAAUACCCCAUAUGCCGCGAGGUGAAAUGAAUUUCGCCUGAGGAUGAGCUCGCGUCUGAUUAGCUAGUUGGUGGGGUAAAGGCUUACCAAGGCAUCGAUCAGUAGCUGGUCUGAGAGGAUGAUCAGCCACACUGGGACUGAGACACGGCCCAGACUCCUACGGGAGGCAGCAGUGGGGAAUUUUCCGCAAUGGGCGAAAGCCUGACGGAGCAACGCCGCGUGAGGGAUGAAGGCCUCUGGGCUGUAAACCUCUUUUAUCAAGGAAGAAGAUCUGACGGUACUUGAUGAAUAAGCCACGGCUAAUUCCGUGCCAGCAGCCGCGGUAAUACGGGAGUGGCAAGCGUUAUCCGGAAUUAUUGGGCGUAAAGCGUCCGCAGGCGGCCCUUCAAGUCUGCUGUUAAAAAGUGGAGCUUAACUCCAUCAUGGCAGUGGAAACUGUUGGGCUUGAGUGUGGUAGGGGCAGAGGGAAUUCCCGGUGUAGCGGUGAAAUGCGUAGAUAUCGGGAAGAACACCAGUGGCGAAGGCGCUCUGCUGGGCCAUCACUGACGCUCAUGGACGAAAGCCAGGGGAGCGAAAGGGAUUAGAUACCCCUGUAGUCCUGGCCGUAAACGAUGAACACUAGGUGUCGGGGGAAUCGACCCCCUCGGUGUCGUAGCCAACGCGUUAAGUGUUCCGCCUGGGGAGUACGCACGCAAGUGUGAAACUCAAAGGAAUUGACGGGGGCCCGCACAAGCGGUGGAGUAUGUGGUUUAAUUCGAUGCAACGCGAAGAACCUUACCAGGGUUUGACAUCCUGCGAAUCUCUUGGAAACGAGAGAGUGCCUUCGGGAACGCAGUGACAGGUGGUGCAUGGCUGUCGUCAGCUCGUGUCGUGAGAUGUUGGGUUAAGUCCCGCAACGAGCGCAACCCACGUCUUUAGUUGCCAGCAUUUAGUUGGGCACUCUAGAGAGACCGCCGGUGAUAAACCGGAGGAAGGUGUGGAUGACGUCAAGUCAUCAUGCCCCUUACAUCCUGGGCUACACACGUACUACAAUGCUACGGACAAAGGGCAGCAAGUUCGCGAGGACAAGCAAAUCCCAUAAACCGUGGCUCAGUUCAGAUCGUAGGCUGCAACUCGCCUACGUGAAGGAGGAAUCGCUAGUAAUCGCAGGUCAGCAUACUGCGGUGAAUACGUUCCCGGGCCUUGUACACACCGCCCGUCACACCAUGGAAGUUGGCCACGCCCGAAGCCGUUACUCCAACCCUCGGGAGGAGGACGUCGAAGGUGGGGCUGAUGACUGGGGUGAAGUCGUAACAAGGUAUCCGUACCGGAAGG